GACCUUGAAAUACCACCCUUUAAUGUUUGAUGUUCUAACGUGGACCCGUUACCCGGGUUGCGGACAGUGUCUGGUGGGUAGUUUGACUGGGGCGGUCUCCUCCUAAAGAGUAACGGAGGAGCACGAAGGUUGGCUAAUCCUGGUCGGACAUCAGGAGGUUAGUGCAAUGGCAUAAGCCAGCUUGACUGCGAGCGUGACGGCGCGAGCAGGUGCGAAAGCAGGUCAUAGUGAUCCGGUGGUUCUGAAUGGAAGGGCCAUCGCUCAACGGAUAAAAGGUACUCCGGGGAUAACAGGCUGAUACCGCCCAAGAGUUCAUAUCGACGGCGGUGUUUGGCACCUCGAUGUCGGCUCAUCACAUCCUGGGGCUGAAGUAGGUCCCAAGGGUAUGGCUGUUCGCCAUUUAAAGUGGUACGCGAGCUGGGUUUAGAACGUCGUGAGACAGUUCGGUCCCUAUCUGCCGUGGGCGCUGGAGAACUGAGGGGGGCUGCUCCUAGUACGAGAGGACCGGAGUGGACGCAUCACUGGUGUUCGGGUUGUCAUGCCAAUGGCACUGCCCGGUAGCUAAAUGCGGAAGAGAUAAGUGCUGAAAGCAUCUAAGCACGAAACUUGCCCCGA
RNAcentral lists this ribosomal RNA (615 nucleotides) under Salmonella enterica. RNAcentral's name for it is "partial 23S ribosomal RNA". It matches the Rfam family "Bacterial large subunit ribosomal RNA", at positions 2188 to 2802 of the family's 2925-position model. RNAcentral also lists the same sequence under 2 other names. Lineage: Bacteria; Pseudomonadati; Pseudomonadota; Gammaproteobacteria; Enterobacterales; Enterobacteriaceae. The record is from RNAcentral.